CAAUGCUCCGCAGCACGCUUUCGACCCGUUUACCCUGCCCGGACAUCAGCGGGGGAAAACUCCUUAAGGCCCGAAUCCGCCUUGCUCCGCCGGGCAACUCUGCCUAUAGCUCUUGCUUUAAUGACAACUGCAUCGAAAUCGACUUUCGUCCUCGGACACCGGCAUUUGCUGGGCAUCGAGGGCCUUUCCGCGGCCGAUAUCAGCGGCCUUCUGGACCUUUCCGAAGAGUUCGUCGAACUGAACCGGCAGGUCGA
This 254-nucleotide unclassified non-coding RNA is filed under the name Hevea brasiliensis (rubber tree). Lineage: Eukaryota; Viridiplantae; Streptophyta; Magnoliopsida; Malpighiales; Euphorbiaceae. The record is from RNAcentral.